GUCGUGUGGUCCAGUGGUUAGAGCAUUGGACUCAUAAUCGCAAGGUCGUGAGUUCGAAUCCCAACUCUGCCAUUGUCUCCACUUUGAUAAAAAGGCCCAAGAGUGAUAUCUGUCGUCUAUUACGUCAGCCACUAUGACUGAUUAACCUAGACGUAAAAUGUUUCCAAAGUAAUUGGUUAUAUACCAGCUUGGCGUUUACCAGCAAAAAAUGCUGUCCUGCCGAGUUCCUACGGGAGUUACCACAAACAGAGAGUCAGGUUUCUAAACAACUAUCUGAACUACGUACUGAGGGAGAGAAACAGGAGUCAAGGUUAUUUGAUCUUGAGGUCAAAGUCGAACGAUACACCCAUGAUAUGAACGACAUGAAAUCCUUGAUAGAAACCCAGAAAUCAAGUAUCAAGAAGCUACAACAUGCCCAGGAACAAUAUUCUCGCAGAAAUUGCCUUCGGUUCUUUGGCUUUCAUGAGUCUCCCCAAGAAGAUACAGAUGACAUCAUCAUGAAGCUCGCUUCUGAAGUUCUUGGAGUUCAGCUGGCGAGGAACGACAUCGAGAGGAGCCACAGGAUUACUUCAAGAACUAAAUCAUUAAGAUCUGGAGUGGCUGAAAGCACAGAAAGAUCCCAUCCUCCACGACAGAUAAUUGCCAAGUUUGCCUCGUACAGGACCCGCCAGAUGAUUCUUAGGCAACGUCGGAAGCUCGCUGGAAAGGGGCAGUCGAUUCAGGAAGAUCUGACUGCUCAAAAUGCACAACUUCUCCAUGCUGCUAAGACAUCUAAGGUAGUGGAAACUGCUUGGUCAGUGGAUGGACGAAUCUUUGUACUUGUGUCAAAUGGUACCACCAAAAAGAAACAUCUAAUAAAGAACAAAACUGAACUUGAGCAGCUCAUUGAACUCAACGCACACUUAUCCAGGCUUACUUGAAACAAACUUUGCCUGCAUUGACUCACCUCUAAAGCUUACUACACUGUUUUUACUGUUGAAGUCUAAAACUGUUAUUGAUUUGUUGUACUUUGAUUGUUAAGUUUUUUUUGUUUGUUUUUUACACUCUCUGCAGCUCCCCACCCUCCCCCGAUUUCAAUUUUUUUUCUCUCUGUCUAUAGAGUAUUUCUUUCCCAUGUAUUUGAUUGUAUUUGUAUUCCUUGUUAUUGAACGCUUUUUAUGAUUAGUAAUUUAUUCACCUGCAGUAACUGUUCCAAACCUCAAUCUCAUCAUGAAAAUGCAUUUUGUGAUUCCUGCAAUACUAUAUUAUUCCCUUUUAACCAUUAUGUAAGCAAUGAAGAAUUUGUUUUCUCAAUUUUUACUUUCUUUCAUUUAGAUAAGUCUAUCGAUGAGGACAAUUUUCAUGCCUUGGCUAUUAAUCCUUUUACUUUGAAUGAAUCUGAGAAUGACUAUAAUGUAUUUUAAAGACGACUCGGCGAUUUAAAAUGAUUUAUUAGUCGGUGAACAAUGCCAGGUCAUGAAGGUAUUUGUAAUUUGGAAUGGCGCGGUUGACGAGGUGAUACGUCACAAUGGCGCGCCAGCCUGUUUGGUUUAUGCCCACAAUGACAAUAAUUUGUACUGGGCGCAAGGAGCGCGCAUGUUUUGGCGCGCGCGCCUAGGUGUGAAGGCGCGAAAAAUCCUUCAUUUUAGUCUUGGCUUUCAACGGAGAUGAACGUCCAAAAUAUUCGCUUGUAAUUUUUCUUACGACCUUGCAUUUUUGAAGACGUCGUAAUCUACAAAGAGCAACGAAAUCUACAAGAAUUUUUUGUUGAAACCAUCAUCGAUCGGGACUCACAACAAUUUCGCUUAUGAAGCUGAAAAUGCAGUCCGAAUUACUUGAUGAUACUCUAUUUCUUGCCUGGCCUAACAUUAACAACAACUCGUCUGCUUUGACUUUGAACCAAGUUUAAUACGACGGGGAGCGACUGUAUCGAUUACAGCAGUCAGCAGAUCGGCUGGGCCCUAACUUUUGAGCUGUUUGGUUUCAGCAACGAUGGGACGAAUGAUGAGAAUGUGACUCAAGCUGCUAGGUGGAAUUCAGUUCAUUCGGCUUUUCAUAAGCCUGGAAUUUUUAUUGAGUCUGAGAGUCUUGUCGUUAACGUGCAGGAUUUGGGACUGGCAACAGCCAACCCAGCCAACAAAACAUUUGAGCACGGACCCUGGCACAAGGUUAGAGACUAGGCCUAAGUUAGGCCUACAUUGGCAACAAAAUCAUGCAUAAGUUAGACAUUGUCGGCGACGCCAUGAUACAGUAGACUAUGAUUCAUCAUGAUCACCCAAUGAUAUGACUAUGACUAUGAGUAUUUAAUGUUUGUCGGAAGUCAGAGGUCCUACUCCUGAGUCCGAGCUCUCGAGUCUGCUUGUGGGAGGUGAGGCGACGGUCUGGAUUGGCAGACGGAACGGGGAACGGGGUACUCGUGGUCGGUACCACUACCAGAGAAUUCACAAGUUUCAGUCUCUACAAGACCUAGCCUAUCCGGUGAGUACGAAGCAGGAAUAGAUCUAGGCUAGACUCAGUCUAGAUUUAGGUCUACGGUUUAGUGUCAAAUAGUAUCCUAGGCCUAGGCCUAGUAGGUCUACGUUAGGCCUAACGUUAAGCCUAGUAUACUGUAGUGCUAACUUAGAGUAGAAGUUAGGCUUAAAUGAAUCGUAGAAGAGGCCUGCUUUGUAACGAGCAGGUAGGCCUGUCUAGGCCUGGCUUUAGAUUUCGAACAAAAUCAUGUUCUUAUUGGUCAGGAGUUAAUAGGCUCUGAGUCCUUUUCAUUUCAAUUUCAUGGCCCGUCAACCCCCCCCCCCCCCCGGUUUUCACGUUAGAACGCGAAGAUCCUAUUACCAACCAUAGGCCAGGCAUAAGACUAGUUAAGGUAGUCAGGCAAACAUGGUUCGAUGGGGGGGGGGGGCUAUUUGGCUUGUCAACACAAUGUUUAGAUUUGAAUGUAGGUCAUAUGUCAAGCCAUAAUAAGACAUAGCUUGGACUUGGCCUGGAAUUAAUUUUAAUUUGGUCCAAGCGGUUUAUACGAUCAUGAUGGAAAAGGGAGGGGUUGUCGUCAUAAUUCAAACACGGGCCUAGCUAGGCCUGUUCCUACUUGACGACUUGUUUUAGUGUCUGAACUAGGUCACUAGGUGUGUCAUGGUGAUUUUUAAAAAGAGUUCAACAAUUUUAUUAACGUUAAUUACCGUAUCGUAUUAGGUGUAGGCCCUAGUUCAUGGCUGUGGUUAAUAUGGAUGUAAAUACAUUUUCACAGCCGGUGGUUUGGAAAUUGGGGUUAGUCUCCUCAGUAUAUGACUACAUUGAGGUUCUAAAGCUUCGGCCAGAAUCGAUGUAUAUUUUCGAUGGAAAAUCAAAGAAAAAUGAAGUCUAUAGAGGCCGAUAUGAAAUUGGUUCUAGCAGCCAUUAUUUACAGCUUAUUCUAGGCCUAGUGAUGGGCUAGGCUAAGAUGUAUUUAAGACCAUGAUUAAUUUUAAGCCGCCGUUUUUGGCAAAAAUGGUGAGAAUAGCAGAGGGUCUACUAGUGAUUGGCAAAAAGUUCGAACUUUUUCGGUGCUGAUAAAUAACUGAGUGAGAAAUGUCACUUUGUCUUUGUUAUAAAUUUACAAGUAGUCUACUACUAGUACAGGUACUCGGACUACAAUUUAAUGGUGACACCACAGAGGAAAUUAGGCUAAGUCCAACGUUAGAUCUACUAACAGUAGACGCGGUUUUACAUGUCUGUUUUGGGGAUAAAUCAGCUGGUUCAGUUAGGCCUAUAAAAGUAGUAUUUGACCUCUGUGACUUUUUCUGGAUAUGGGCCAGCAUGAGCUGUGUUCUCGGUCUAAAAAUUAUGUGGAUAGACCGGUGGUGGAAGAGCUUAUACUAGAUAUGUAUACGUCUACUCAGUUUUUAAAUGAACAUCUACAGACUGCGACGGGCAUGAUAUUAUUGUUGAAUCAGUCACUUGAAAAGUAGCGGAUGUGGCUUAGCAUUAUGACAUGCGAUUGUAUGGAUUUCUUACAGUCUUUUAAAGGAAAAUAACUAGAGUUUAAAGUAUUGAAAAUAAUACUAUUUAUUGCUGAUGUUGAUGAUACAGUGUGAUAAUGAUUAUACAUUAAAUAUAAAUACCUCCACCUUGCACCAAGCAGUUCUGUUUAUACAUUUACGCCUUGAAACGGGUUGGUUUUUGGAAUUCACUUUGCAUGAAUUGAAUGCCGAUGCUUGGUGGAAAUGUGAGCUUCACAUUUCGAGGAAACAUGGUACACGUAAAAGUGGACUUACCAUGCACAUAAUAGUCGGAUGUAAUUUCAAACUAGCUUGGAAUCCCCAAAUUAGUUUAGAUUGAAGUCAAGUGGUCAACGAGCAGUUUGUUAUAAUAUUAUAGGCCUCCCAAUAAGAAACCUUUAUGUAAUAGGAGUCGUUUAUGUGCGAUGAUUUUGUGUGGAUUUUAUUUUGUGUAAAAAAAAAAAAGUAGAAAUGCUUAGGCCCUAUUGGAAUUGAAUUUAAUUACUGGUUGUUAUAUAGCGCUUUAUAUCAACCUCGAAGUCGAACUGCUCAAAGCGCUUCACAAUUGAACCUAGUUGCACCUCAUGGUUCAAGGUAUUUAUCAAAUAGGCCUAUUUGGCUGGUCAAUGAUUUGAACUGAGAUAAUAUCAUUUUAAAAAGAAUGAUAAUUAUGUAAUUAUGUAAAUGGGCAUGUGUGGGAAAGUCUGAAAUCUUGUAGAUGCACCAUGCUGUCACCCCCCCCCCCCUUUGCUUUCGGGGGACACAAUACGGAUGCCUUUAAUGCAAUGAGCCAUGUAGGUAAACUGGCCAAUCAAACGAAAUUUACCGAUUGCACAAUCAGGAACCAGGUUACAAAAGUACAUCUUCUUUUUUGGAAUUGUACAGCGUGUGAAAUAUUUUGUUGGUGGCCCGUUGAGUAUGAAAAUGUUUCCAAUGGGCUGGAUGCAAUAAUUUGGCUCGAUUAUUUCUGCAGUGAUAUGAGAGCCGGCUCUUUGGAUAAAAUGGAUUCAAGCUGACUACUGCGAGGCAAGGUAGGCUGGCAGGAAAGUUUGAUGACAAUCGGACCUACUAUAGUAUAACCUAGAACGCUCCAAGUCUGGCUGCCAAAGAGUUUCCCUUUGGUUGGAUCUAGUUCCUGACCAGAUAGCCUAGAGUCCAUGGUAAUGGAUGUCAAUUGUGGCGUUAAUACGCUCUUGUAAUAAAUAGAAAUGAACUGGGUAUAGCCUGAGAACUAUGCUGCCGGAAAUUACCCUAAUUGGAGCAGUGGUCAACGUCUUCAUCUUCAUAUUAAUAAUUUACCGACAGGUGUGGAUUUAUAAUACGUAGUCCAAGGAAUAGAGGUUUUCUUCAGUAAAAAAAACUGGUGAACAAACAUCUUAGCCUUCAAGGAACAGUAUUGCAGCAGGGAAAACAAUUUCAUGUUUGAAACAUCAUGAUACAGUGGGCUAUCUUGAAUAAUGAGUCCAUGAUAUGAGGAUGAGUUCAUUAUGAUUUCAUUUUCAGACUUUUUAUGAGGUCCUCCAUAUUGUUCACUUGGAAGGGAUUGGAACUUGAACAUAUGAAGAAAGCCCUUUGCCUCUUUGUGCUUUUGCCAACAAGAAUGUAACAUAUUGUUCAGGACAAAUAUAUAUAUAUGUGCAUGUAUAAAUGUAUAAGGCACUUCAAUUUUAUUCAUUAUCCUUUGAAGGACUACUCGUCGGAUGUUAUUUUAAUUUUGAAAUAAACAAUUAUUUCAUGGAUGUGGUGAAGAUGAUAAGACAAAAAGUCAGUCAUGUUUUACGUCGAUAUGUGAAUACAUAAUCGAAAAAUGAAACAUCCCCGGUAAAAUUCCAGUUUAUGUUCACUGGUUCUUAGUUUAGCUGCAUGAGGGGUGUAGCUCUAUAAACGGAGUAGUUCUGACGGGAAGGGUUCAUGUUCAAAUUGGUUUUAGUGCCUUCAAUUAUCAUGGUUAUACUCUAUUGGUUAUAUGGGGUUAUUCUGUGGAUGUUACUCUAGUUUUCAGUUUCAGUUUUUAUUUUAUCUCAUUUCCAACAGAACAGUUUUCAAAAUCCAUUAUAACUCAGGAAUGGUAUGAUGUCUGUUUGUUGGCAUUAAGAGUGAGGUGACUAACUAAAUGCUGUGGUUGGAUUUUAAUUGAUCGAUUGUCCACAAUUGAAUCAUAUGGGUGCAUGGAGUUAAGUCAUGCACUGUUAUAAUUAUAUGGCAAAUGGGACAACAAGAAAGUGGCAGUACCUCAGUGCGGCAUGCAUUGUUGGUUUAGCUAUGUUGGGAUGCUAGUACGUGUUAACUAUAUGGUCAAACUGAUGGCUUUCGGCCAUCUAAUUGGUUUUAGUGCCUUCAGUUAUCAUGGUUAUACCCCAUUGGUUAUAUGGGGUUGUUCUGUGGAUGUUACUCAAGUUUUCAGUUUCAGAUUUUAUCUUAUCUCAGUUCCAACAGAACAGUACCGGUAUAUCAAAUCAAAAAUAAAUACUAAUAAUGAAAAAAUGAAUAAAAUAAAGUAUGGUAUGUACCGUAUUUGUUGGAAUUAAGUGUGAAGUGACUAGCUAAAUGCCGUGUUUGGUUUUUAUCGAUCGAUUGUCCACAAUUGAAUUAUUUGUGUGCAUAGGGUUAGAUUAUGCACUGUUAUACAUGUAUGGCAAAUGGGACAACAAGACAGAGGCAGUACCUCAGUGCGGCAUGCAUUGCUAGUUUAGCAAUGUUGGGAUGCCAGUAUUUGUUAAUUAUAUGGUCAAGCUGAAGGCGUUCAGCCACCAUUGAUAACUUAUCAAAAUUGGUGAUGCAAUGAAUUUCAAUUUUGAAGAUUGCAAUAGAUUUGUAUCAAAAUCAUGAUACUUCAAAUGGCAUAUUAUCUUGUCUUCCUUCAUAUGUUUUGUUUAGUUUUGCGCAUGGUAAUCAGAUUUUAAUUGUGAAUGAAGUUCUGACACGGUUAUGUUUUAAUGUAUUUCUAUUGGGAGAUUUUUCCAACAGCUGAAUACAUUGAAGUGUUUUUCAUGCUCUCAUUAUACUUGAGAUGGAUAUUUGUUCAUAUACUUGAAUUGGAUUUUUCUAUCUGGUUUUGGAAUGCAAUAAGUGAAAUAUUCAGGUGCAAAGUAUUUGUCAUUUCAUGCUGGUUUAAAACGGGCUGGUAUGUUGGUCAAGAAUAGAAAACAGGUAUACUGCGUAUAAAAUGAUCACUCUUAUAUCAGCCAGAAUAGCUAGAGGCAAAGAAUGCCAGCCUUCAGGUAACUGUGUCAUGUAAGACAGCGACGUCAAGGCUGUACAAAGAUUUUAUACAAAGAUGAUAUAUUUUAAAUUCAUUUAAAAUUAUUGGAGGGCUUGGAGGCCUACUUGACUACAUAUGCAUGAUAACUGAUUUAGCUUGGCCAGCUAAUGCAAAACUAGACUAAAUUAUGAACGAAGGCUUAAAAAAUGAAUGAAGUGUUUGGCGGCCGAUCAUAUAUAUAAAAUAUAUUCUCGUUUGGCGGUAAUUUGUCAAAUUAUGCCGCCUAAACACUGUUGUCAUAAGAUAUAUUGGCAUGGCAUAUGUUCUUUAAUCCACAAUGGUCACUUUUGCAAGGUGUUUAAAGCAGUGAAUUAUAUUUUCGCCUCUAGUUAUUAGAUUUUCCACUUUGAUGCCAUGUACGUUGAUUAAUAUUUCAUAUUGAAUCGGGUCCUCAUUCGGUACCUAGACGAAGGGGAUUUAUUUAUAACUUUACAUAGUACUUUAAGAACGCAAUUGUAGAUUUGAAUGUAAGGGUGUCACGCUCGAACUUUCAGUUUAGGCCUCACCUGAUCUCAUAGGCGGGGAGGCUGGUAUUCUGUAUACAUUUAUAUUUUAUGUAAGGGUGUCACGCUCGAACUUUCAGUUUAGGCCUCACCUGAUCUCAUAGGCGGGGAGGCUGGUAUUCUGUAUACAUUUAUAUUUUUCGUGAAAUUUAGGCCUCACCCAAGUUCUCAUGCGGGAAGGCUGGUAUAUAUAUAUAUAUGUAUAUUAUAUGAUAUAAGUAUGACAUCUGUAAUCCACCGAUUUGCCGGUAGCUCAUAAAUGUAGUUCAUAGCUGUGCUGGUAUUCCUGUCCGGCUAGCAGAGAACCAGUGGGAAAGCAGCCGCGAAAUUUAACGUUGAAUUUUCUGGGAGGGGGGCCUUCUAGCCGGGGGUUUAACCCCCCUUCGGGGAGCUAAUUCGAGGCUAUCGGUUGGUUUCAGAUAUACAUGAAUGUAAGUCUCUAAUCAGAGGUAUUCAUAUCUAUGUUUUAUACUUAUGUGAUUGUGACACCAAUUUCGGGAAGCGUUCAUCUCUAUUGAAUAAAGCCACGACAUAAUCGCAUAUUAUUUUGUUUUGUCAUUUUGUUUGCCGAGAAUAAUGUAUUUUAAAGACGACUCGGCGAUUUAAAAUGAUUUAUUAGUCGGUGAACAAUGCCAGGUCAUGAAGGUAUUUGUAAUUUGGAAUGGCGCGGUUGACGAGGUGAUACGUCACAAUGGCGCGCCAGCCUGUUUGGUUUAUGCCCACAAUGACAAUAAUUUGUACUGGGCGCAAGGAGCGCGCAUGUUUUGGCGCGCGCGCCUAGGUGUGAAGGCGCGAAAAAUCCUUCAUUUUAGUCUUGGCUUUCAACGGAGAUGAACGUCCAAAAUAUUCGCUUGUAAUUUUCCCACCUCCUCCCCAACAACCACCCAUGUAAACGGUACGUUUGGGUCAAACGAUGUUGGAAUAUUGUUUAAACACAUGCGUUGGAGAAGGUCGAGAAUGAAGAUACGCUAUACGUAUCAUUCAGAGUUGAUUUGUGUUUUAUUGGAAUGUACAGCUCGUUCAGGAUGGAAUAACGGGAUGUAGAACUGUCGAUAAUGGACAUUUGAAUUAGUUUACUUACAUGAAUAUAAUAUUGAUUUAUAUAACGAAACACGAAUUCAAAUCCGGAGGCAGUUUGCCUGGUCGCACACCAAAACAAUACCAAGAUCGUCGUGCAUUUAGAAAUGUGGGCCGUAAGGGAAUUUUAUCCUUCUGAUCUAUUUUGGACUGUGGUCAGGUGGGUUUUCGCCCUUACCCGUUUUUGUGGCUGGGUGUUCGUUAUAUAUUGGUAAUUCACAUGAAUUGUAUUGUCAUAUUAUUGUCAUGGCAUAUGUUCUUUAAUCCACAAUGGUCACUUUUGCAAGGUGUUUAAAGCAGUGAAUUAUAUUUUCGCCUCUAGUUAUUAGAUUUUCCACUUUGAUGCCAUGUACGUUGAUUAAUAUUUCAUAUUGAAUCGGGUCCUCAUUCGGUACCUAGACGAAGGGGAUUUAUUUAUAACUUUACAUAGUACUUUAAGAACGCAAUUGUAGAUUUGAAUGUAAGGGUGUCACGCUCGAACUUUCAGUUUAGGCCUCACCUGAUCUCAUAGGCGGGGAGGCUGGUAUUCUGUAUACAUUUAUAUUUUAUGUAAGGGUGUCACGCUCGAACUUUCAGUUUAGGCCUCACCUGAUCUCAUAGGCGGGGAGGCUGGUAUUCUGUAUACAUUUAUAUUUUUCGUGAAAUUUAGGCCUCACCCAAGUUCUCAUGCGGGAAGGCUGGUAUAUAUAUAUAUAUGUAUAUUAUAUGAUAUAAGUAUGACAUCUGUAAUCCACCGAUUUGCCGGUAGCUCAUAAAUGUAGUUCAUAGCUGUGCUGGUAUUCCUGUCCGGCUAGCAGAGAACCAGUGGGAAAGCAGCCGCGAAAUUUAACGUUGAAUUUUCUGGGAGGGGGGCCUUCUAGCCGGGGGUUUAACCCCCCUUCGGGGAGCUAAUUCGAGGCUAUCGGUUGGUUUCAGAUAUACAUGAAUGUAAGUCUCUAAUCAGAGGUAUUCAUAUCUAUGUUUUAUACUUAUGUGAUUGUGACACCAAUUUCGGGAAGCGUUCAUCUCUAUUGAAUAAAGCCACGACAUAAUCGCA
Lytechinus pictus (painted urchin) is the source of this 9831-nucleotide long non-coding RNA. RefSeq lists it as uncharacterized. The record is from RefSeq and is a predicted model, not a curated record. Lineage: Eukaryota; Metazoa; Echinodermata; Echinoidea; Temnopleuroida; Toxopneustidae. The transcript is spliced from 2 exons.